RNAcentral lists this unclassified non-coding RNA (287 nucleotides) under uncultured Umbelopsidomycetes. Its description in RNAcentral is "sequence contains 5.8S rRNA gene, ITS2, 28S rRNA gene". Lineage: Eukaryota; Fungi; Mucoromycota; Umbelopsidomycetes. The record is from RNAcentral.
AACGCAUAUUGCACUCUUUGGUAUUCCGAAGAGUAUGCUUGUUUCAGUAUCAUGAAAAUCUCACAAUUUUCAAUUUUUUUUUGAAAAUUAGUGGACUUGGAUUUGCAAUUCUUUGGAAUGGCUAAUCUCAAAUAGAUUUCAUGAAGCUCAAAGGCUUUCAAUCUUUGCUUAAUAGUUUUGCUUUGUCAAAUCUUUUGCAUUGAUUUAGAAGCAAAAGUGAAUUGAUUUUACGAAAAUUAAUGUCAUUUUUUGAUCUGAAAUCAAGUAGGACUACCCGCUGAACUUAA